GAAUGACAGCAGAGAAGAUUAGCAUGGCCCCUGCACAAGGAUGACAUGUAAAUUUGUGAAGCAUUCCAUAUUUUU
This 75-nucleotide small nuclear RNA is filed under the name Sus scrofa (pig). Lineage: Eukaryota; Metazoa; Chordata; Mammalia; Artiodactyla; Suidae. The record is from RNAcentral.